This 1122-nucleotide long non-coding RNA is filed under the name Cricetulus griseus (Chinese hamster). RNAcentral describes it as "lncRNA (ENSCGRG00015036533.1)". The record is from RNAcentral. Lineage: Eukaryota; Metazoa; Chordata; Mammalia; Rodentia; Cricetidae.
GCAGAAGUGGGACAGCGCAAGGGCCCAUGGGAGCGUUGCCCCUGUGACCCGGGCGGAGAGCCCAUAGGCCCCUGGUGGACAGCAAGUGUCUGUUACCAAACGUGUAGAAGUUUUAGUGAACAGGUGAGAGGAGGAAGUCAGUGUCUGCGGGAGAACUACGUAAGAACCCUUUCGUCCCGCUCGUUCUCGUGGGUCUCUCCCCUUCCAUCUACCCCGGACCUUCUCGCCUCAGCGGCUGUGUGAAGAUGGUGAAGAGCGGCUACCUGGGCGCGCCUGCCUGCGAAGCCCAUGGGCACGCGGCAGCUAGCGGUGUGCGCUUGCGCGCCGUCCGGGCGGGGCGGGACGGGGCGUCUCCCGUCGCUGGCUGGAGGCGGGGCCCGGGCCAGAGCGCCGCGCCCGCGAGCUGACCUCGUUGAACGCCGCCCGUGACGUCACCCCGCCGUGACGCGUACGCAGUAGGAAAACUACACGAGGCAAUCUGCUAAGUGAAGCUUGGAAAUAGGGGUAGAAGUUUGGAAUUGAUUCCUUGGGAAGUAAGAGAAGGACCUGAUUGGAACCUAAGAAAGAAUCGAUGAACAGCUGUGAAAAGGACUUACCCAGGAAAAAAAGGCUCUUGGAAGACAUGACUUGUGAGCAGACACUGGACAGUUUCCAGGGACAUAACAGUACAUGGACAUCUGCAUGGACAUCCCAAGAUAAAGAUGAAUGUCAUGUGUCAUCCAAUAUGAAAGUUUUGGAAGUUAGAAGACAGACUAAGAGCAAAGAAUAAAGCUUCCCCAGUGGUUUUGAUAUUCAGCUAAAGUUGAAAACUCCUGGAUUUGAAGUCGGAGAGCCAAGAAUGCCCUGCCUAGGUGGUAUGUCUUUGUUCCUCUGGCAGUGGGGAGCCAGCCCUCAGAGGUUUCUGCAAUUGAUGGCAUGAUCAAAGUGGAGUUAGCUAAAAUAAAUUGAUUUUUCGAGUACAUUUGAAUACAAGAGAAGUAAGAAACAGCUUGACUUAGAGUUUGUGGUAGUAUGAGAAAAGGAGGAGUCACAUUUUCAAGUAUGUGGGAGUUGGUGAUAAUCUGUAUCAUAAACUGAUUAUACAACCUCAUCCUCAUUAAUUUGAUCUCUUUUCUCUUCCAG